This 465-nucleotide ribosomal RNA is filed under the name uncultured bacterium. RNAcentral describes it as "partial 16S ribosomal RNA". It matches the Rfam family "Bacterial small subunit ribosomal RNA", at positions 338 to 795 of the family's 1533-position model. The record is from RNAcentral.
CCUACGGGAGGCAUCAGUAGGGAAUCUUCCACAAUGGGCGCAAGCCUGAUGCCGCAACACCGCGUGAGUGAAGAAGGGUUUCGGCUCGUAAAGCUCUGUUGUUGGAGAAGAACGUGCGUGAGAGUAACUGUUCACGCAGUGACGGUAUCCAACCAGAAAGUCACGGCUAACUGCGUGCCAGCAGCCGCGGUAAUACGUAGGUGGCAAGCGUUAUCCGGAUUUUUUGGGCGUAAAGCGAGCGCCAGCGGUUGCGUAGGUCUGAUGUGAAAGCCUUCGGCUUAACCGAAGAAGUGCAUCGGAAACCGGGCAACUUGAGUGCAGAAGAGGAAAGCGGAACUCCAGGUGGAGCGGUGGAAUGCGUAGAUAUAUGGAAGAACACCAGUGGCGAAGGCGGCUGUCUGGUCUGCAACUGACGCUGAGGCUCGAAAGCAUGGGUAGCGAACAGGAUUAGAUACCCUUGUAGUC